Molecule: long non-coding RNA, 1312 nt
Organism: Bombus terrestris (buff-tailed bumblebee)
Lineage: Eukaryota; Metazoa; Arthropoda; Insecta; Hymenoptera; Apidae
Exons: 2
Source: RefSeq, a predicted model, not a curated record
AUUUAUUAAAGGCGCGCAUCCAGAGGACGGUCACCUCAAAGUGUCUCUGAACCUUCGAAGCAGUGUACUCACUAUGCCAAACUUCGUGCAAAAGGGUUUAGUCUUCCCGCGUUUAAACGGUUCGUUUCAGGUGUCACACGAUCGUGUAUUGAUUAUUUUUUUCUUGUACAGACUAUAGAACUGUAUGUACGCAUAUAUUCAUACAAUUGUAUUGCAAAUACUUCAUUACGCAAAGACACACUGAUGUUUAUUGUUAUUGGAACAGAUGUAAUGUACAAUGCAUUAAUAUGCACAUAUCACUUUGCGUUACAAUAGUAUUACAAUCGAGUGAAAAAUAAUAAAGUUUCAGGUCAACAAUAAGACUUACAAUAGAAGAUACACGUACAUACUCGUAUACGCAACUAUUACAGUAUCUAACUCUAAAGCUAAGUAAAAUAGAAUAACACGUCGUUAAAAUAAAAUCAAUAAUAAAUUUGUAGGAAGUGAGAAUGGUAUCACGAGGUCAUCGGCAUCUUGACUUCAAAUUACGUAGAACUUUAUAAAAAUAACUCAAUCAUUGUUAUAAAAUUGAAAACUACUAAAAAUUAAAUUUUGUAAAUAAAUGUAUAUAACUUUCUUUAAAAAUUCAUAUAUUUUAAAAAAUAGAAAGUCAUAUAUUUAAACAACAUAGUUCAUAGGAAGAAUUACCCCAAAAAUUAUGAAAAUUGUUCACAUUGGUGACGCUUAAGUCUACCAUUUAAUUUAUCGUAGAUACAUCCCUGCGGUUUGUGUCUGCGCAUGCGCGUAUCUGUACGCACGAAGAGGUACUCGACUAAUCGCAUCGGGUGCCCCGGCCACGCUUCCCGCUCUUCGUUUCCUCGUGUUAUUUAGUGAACGUCUUUACGUUCUUUUCCGAAUUCUUGUCAUUUUGUGGUUACCCAAACGUCACGCGAUACCUUUGAAUUUUGCGCAUUAGUUAUAAUCGUAUAUAUUAAAGACAUCCUCUGGGUAUAUAGAAUUUCUGCGCAUCAAUACGUUCGUGCAACGUCAACCUAACCCCCAAUAAGUGCAGGAGCCACGGACCUGACAUUCCAUUACGAUGUAUAAGGCUUUCCUCCAGGUAUCCGUGGUGCUAUAACCCCAUUUUCCUUUCUCUUUCUUGUUCUAAUACACAUAUGCGUAUGCAUACUCAUUUUCAUUUCCUAUUACGAUUACUUUUUCGUUAUUUGGUUAUGAUUCGACUCGAGGUCAUCUCUAGCUUGUUAAGUUUGUACAGAUGUAGAAAUUCUGUUGCUUCGAGUUCAUAGAUAUUAAUAAAUAAAAUUAAAAGAGA